AUUAAUGCAUUGAGCAAGAGAGUAUCCGCCAGUGAGGUUUCAGAAAGAAAAUCAAUGAUGAGAGAUUUUUACCGACUGUUGUGAGAAAGUAACUUGUGAGCUACUCGUUCAAAUUUUGAGAACGGGUCGGGUAUAUCUAACCGUUACCAUGAUAAUAAGUGGGGCUUUUGGCCCAAUUUAGGUGGUACCGCGAACACUUCGUCCUAAUU
Molecule: non-coding RNA, 209 nt
Filed under: Lentilactobacillus diolivorans
Lineage: Bacteria; Bacillati; Bacillota; Bacilli; Lactobacillales; Lactobacillaceae
Description: Lactobacillus diolivorans T-box sequence
Rfam family: T-box leader
About the family: Uncharged tRNA acts as the effector for transcription antitermination of genes in the T-box leader family. T-boxes are found upstream of many aminoacyl-tRNA synthetase genes and some amino acid biosynthetic genes usually in Gram-positive bacteria. The anticodon of a specific tRNA base pairs to a specifier sequence within the T-box motif, and the NCCA acceptor tail of the tRNA base pairs to a conserved bulge in the T-box antiterminator hairpin.
Source: RNAcentral